Molecule: long non-coding RNA, 487 nt
Organism: Leptopilina boulardi
Lineage: Eukaryota; Metazoa; Arthropoda; Insecta; Hymenoptera; Figitidae
Exons: 3
Source: RefSeq, a predicted model, not a curated record
AUUUGUCCAAACAUUUUCCUGUUGUGGUUGUUGAAGCCAAGGAUUUGUCAAAUGAUAGGCAAAAUGAAAUAUAUAAUACUCGAAGGGAUAUGUGCUUAUUAAGGACAAUGAUUCUAUCCUUGAUGGCUUGUGGUUUCACGUACUUCAAAGAUAAGGGCAAAAGUAAAAAAGGAACACAAAAUCUUGAAGGACACAGAAUUCACAGACUUUUUAGAUCUCGGUCUAAUUUUCACAUUUUCCGAAUGGAAAUUUAACUUGAAAAUAGGAAUCUCCGAGGGCUAUUUAGUUUGAAAGAAUCUCCUUAAAGCUGAAAAUUCGUUCAGAGGUAUUUGAAAAAAAAAAAAAUUACCACACAUUCUUGACGUCGUUGGAUAAUAGCUUAUACUUUCGACAGUACACGCCAAUACUCCAGCUAACAUGCCGAGAACACCGGAAAGAGUUACAGUAGGAAUACCCCAUUGACCAGGAUAUGGAAAGCGGAUCCAUG